UAAGGAAUCUUCCGCAAUGGACGAAAGUCUGACGGAGCAACGCCGCGUGCAGGAUGACGGCCUUCGGGUUGUAAACUGCUUUUAUUUGGGAAGAUUGUGACGGUACCAAAUGAAUAAGGACCGGCUAACUACGUGCCAGCAGCCGCGGUAAUACGUAGGGUCCAAGCGUUAUCCGGAAUCACUGGGCGUAAAGCGUGCGUAGGUGGGUGCUUAAGUGCAAUGCGAAAUCCUGUGGCUCAACCAUAUGGACUGUAUUGCAUACUGGGUACCUAGAGGACAUGAGAGGCAAGUGGAAUUACCGGUGUAGCAGUGAAAUGCGUAGAGAUCGGUAGGAACACCAAUGGCGAUGGCAGCUUGCUGGCAUGUAUCUGACGCUAAGGCACGAAAGCGUGGGGAGCGAACAG
Molecule: ribosomal RNA, 404 nt
Filed under: uncultured bacterium
Lineage: Bacteria
Description: bacterial SSU rRNA
Rfam family: Bacterial small subunit ribosomal RNA
Source: RNAcentral